This 404-nucleotide ribosomal RNA is filed under the name uncultured Rhodospirillaceae bacterium. RNAcentral describes it as "bacterial SSU rRNA". It matches the Rfam family "Bacterial small subunit ribosomal RNA", at positions 355 to 776 of the family's 1533-position model. Lineage: Bacteria; Pseudomonadati; Pseudomonadota; Alphaproteobacteria; Rhodospirillales; Rhodospirillaceae. The record is from RNAcentral.
UGGGGAAUAUUGGACAAUGGGGGAAACCCUGAUCCAGCCAUGCCGCGUGAGUGAGGAAGGCCCUAGGGUUGUAAAGCUCUUUCACCCGUGACGAUGAUGACGGUAGCGGGAGAAGAAGCCCCGGCUAACUCCGUGCCAGCAGCCGCGGUAAGACGGAGGGGGCUAGCGUUGUUCGGAAUUACUGGGCGUAAAGCGCGCGUAGGCGGCCGGUCAAGUUAGGCGUGAAAGGCCUGGGCUCAACCUGGGAACGGCGCUUAAGACUGAUCGGCUGGAGUCCGGGAGAGGGUGGUGGAAUUCCCAGUGUAGAGGUGAAAUUCGUAGAUAUUGGGAGGAACACCAGUGGCGAAGGCGGCCACCUGGCCCGGCACUGACGCUGAGGCGCGAAAGCGUGGGGAGCAAACAGG